Molecule: long non-coding RNA, 456 nt
Organism: Lontra canadensis (Northern American river otter)
Lineage: Eukaryota; Metazoa; Chordata; Mammalia; Carnivora; Mustelidae
Exons: 3
Source: RefSeq, a predicted model, not a curated record
GCAUAGCCUGGAUGAAACGGGCUCAGAAGUUAAAUACUUUCCUCAGGAGCACACAGGUAGUAAGUGAAAUGGGUUUGUAUCUGAUACUAAAGCACAUUCUUUUUCUCUCUACCAUGUGCAUAUAAAUAAAGUGUAAUUUCCACAUGAAAAUAGAUGGCAUGAAGAAGUAGAAAACUAAUGGUAUCAUAAUCCUUAACCAGAUCUACUUGGCAGUGUGGGUUCAUUGAGGAAUAGAAGGAAAUCUGGACAUGGACACGUGGUUGGAAAGGGAGGACCUAGCAGACACCCUGAAAGGAUCUGAGACACUCUCAGGGGUCCUUGGAUCAUAUUUGAAAACUGCUGAUGCCAAUGGUUCUCUGAGUGUGGUCCCAGACCACCAGCAGCCUCCAGGAAUCUAUUAGAAAUACAGACUCUGGCUCAGCCCAGACCUGAAUCAGCAAGUCAGCCAGGUUGAUU